UAUGUGAAUACCUUUAGGAACGCGUUGUUGAAUUACGUUGAUUGACGAGGUAUAUGUGGUAUAUACACGUGCGUUGAAAAAGCAUUUCGAAUAAAAUGAAAAUUAAAAGGAUCAAGAAGUUAAAACGCAAGAAGAAGUAUAAUCCAAACGUGAGUCGAAAGAGGAUGCGAAAUAAGUUACGGAAACUGCCGAAUAUUCCAUGUGAUCAGAUAAAGGAAGAAUGGACGAAUAAGAAAUCUACUCGUGCCAAUUUGAGAGAUAUGGGUUUAGCAUACGACGCGAACGAGUCGGUGCAAAUUCCUAAUGUUAACCGCGAAAUGUUAGAGGAAGCCAAGAAAAAGGUUACAGAAAAUGAGGAUUUGUCGGAUCACGAGAAGGACAAAGAAAUGAGUGUGACUGCGAGAAAAGGUUAUGUGGCGGAGAAGCUAGAAGCCGAGGCAAAAGCUCCUCGAGAACGACUUCUUAGAUUACCAAAUGGACAAGUGCAGUUUUUGACUUAUUUAAUACAGAAAUAUGGUGAAGAUUAUGAGGCAAUGUCAAGGGAUAAGAAAAAUCACGAUCAAUUAACGUGGAAACAAAUACGAGCCAAGGUGAAAAUGUUUAAGGGAAUUCCAGAACAAUAUAACAAAUUUAUUGAAAGUAGCAAUGUGGAGUUAGAGUCUAGUUCCUAACAUGCAUAAAUAUACAUUUAGGAUUUUAUUUCUAUUUUUGGAACGUGAUAUAUGUGUAAACGACGCUCCUUCAUUCAUCGGAGCGUGCUGCUCUCACUUAAAAAAAAUUAUGUCCCAAAGAAGCUUGAGAGUCAGCCAAUUGGCAGUGGGACAAGGCGCCGUCUUGACUUAGUAUUAACAGCUGCGUCUGUUCGAGUGUUAGUUGCAUGAUAAAACUCAAUUGUUGAAUGUCGCGCGGCGAAGAAACGCGAUGUGACAUGUUACGCGAAAGCUCAAAAGCUCUCUCAUGAUAGCAAAGCGGAACUGUGGAUGCAAUCGAUAUAGGCGGUGUAUUUGCCAAGACUUAGCCAAGAUCGAUAAGUUGAAUAACAGGAAACAUGCAAUGCACGAUUUAUAAAUGUCACGUGGUAACGUGACGUAUAGCAAUUUACACUAAUGAUCGAAAAUAAUCCGAACAAGGACACCUAUAUAUAAUUAUAUUUUUGUCACGCAAUACAUCCGGUUUUUUUUCGUCAAUUGUUAUGUUCAGGGACGAUACACAGAUCGGUAUUAAAUUCUUUUAUAUCUUUAUAAAUGAUCAGUCUCGUUUGAAAACUUAUGAAGCGUCAAACUUGUUACGUGUCUUUGAUUGUUAAAUUUGGAAGGUCUUUUGCUUGUGGAAUUCUCAUUCCCAAAUUAGAUCACGAUUACAAACAGGAUGUUCGUUCUCGAAUUAUUGAUAAAGUGAUAGCUAUCUUAGUUAUGCGAUUAAAAUUACACCAUUGUACAAACAUCAUAUGAUCGAUGACGUCAUAAAGAUAUGUAGUACUCUUGUAUUUUAAUUCAGUCGUAUGUCUUCUGCCAAUACGAAAUAUUGUAUUAAAAGUUAUUCAACACAAUUUUUUUAGAAAGAAAGAAAAAAA
This is an RNA transcript of Monomorium pharaonis (pharaoh ant), 1573 nucleotides long. It is a transcript of the gene named nucleolar protein 16, with no coding region annotated. NCBI's taxonomy places the organism in Eukaryota, Metazoa, Arthropoda, Insecta, Hymenoptera, Formicidae. The record is from RefSeq and is a predicted model, not a curated record. The transcript is spliced from 4 exons.